CCCCACUCAUCCCUACCAGCACACUACCUAUGCACCCUUAGGAUCAAGACUCCUGGGCCAGAGUCGACCUCAUUCCCUUUGAUAGCUAAAGGAUCUGAGGCCCAAAGAGGAGAAGAAGCUGGGGGUGCGCACACCAGCCCAGCAGAGAGGACAUGGGCAGGUCCUGAUGGCAUGACCACACAGGCUGGGUUGUUUGUCCAGGGGCCGUGAGAGGACCGAGGCUCUGCUCCAUUCCAGCCCCGUGCACUGGUGGCCGAUGAUACGGAACAUGACGGCCAUUGCCAGGUCCAGGAGGAAGGGGAGUGUUUCAUUAGCUGCAUGUUUUAUGUGGUGGCAGCUGAUGCUCCUGUCGGGACCUGCACACGCAGUUUGCCCGCCUGCCUAAUGGAGGAGAAAUGUGCUCUCCAGCGCGGCCAUCCCUGGACCCAGGCAAGCGCUAGGAGGGACUCACUGCAGGCUGCUGGUGGCCAGAAGCCCUCAGUGGAACAGGACAAGGAGGAGGACAGCAGGCCCCACAGGCGAGACGGUUGUCAAGGAAGAGGCUGGAGAUCUGCCCACGGGAUAAUGGAGUGGUACCCACUUCUUGGAGAGAACCAUUUUUUCUGAUGUCAAAUCAGGACUUUGGGGACCCUGAAGGGAACAGGGUGGCUCACCCCCAGGAUGCAGGUGGGGAAACUCAUGCUCAGAUGACCUUGUCCUUGUCUGUGAACUCCAUUGCAGUCCCAGGCACCCGGUCCCACCAGAGCCCCAGACAGUAGUCCUGAGGUCCACUCUGUGCACUCACUCCUGGAACAAAGACCCUAGGAGGAAAAACACCCAAGAGCGCCUGGGCUUGGCUCCUGGCUGCUGCAGAGCUUUGCCAGGAAGUUAAAGUCAGAUCAAAGAGGAGGGAACAGCUCUGGCUAAAAUGAAGACGUGGGAAGAGGAAAUAAAGCCUUGG
Ictidomys tridecemlineatus (thirteen-lined ground squirrel) is the source of this 940-nucleotide non-coding RNA. NCBI's taxonomy places the organism in Eukaryota, Metazoa, Chordata, Mammalia, Rodentia, Sciuridae. The record is from RefSeq and is a predicted model, not a curated record.